Gossypium raimondii (Peruvian cotton) is the source of this 123-nucleotide non-coding RNA. The record is from Rfam. NCBI's taxonomy places the organism in Eukaryota, Viridiplantae, Streptophyta, Magnoliopsida, Malvales, Malvaceae.
AAUAGGAGAAUAACAAAUCAAAUUUUUCCUCAUGAUAUUCAACUUUUUCCUCCUGAAAAAAUUCAAAUCCAACUAAAAAUGCUAAAUAUCUGGAGGAAAAAUCUAAUUUAUCAUUCUCCUAUU